GGGUUCCCCGGGGAUCUCGGCCCACCGGGACACAACGGCCCCGAGGGACCCAAGGUUAGCGUGACCUUUGACCUGUUAUCACCCAAUCACAGAGCAAUGCUUAGCGCUCGCCACCUGAGCUGCAGAGGCAGACGUCAUGUUGUGCUCUAUCUCUCCCCAGGGUAGGGCCGGGCUCCGAGGGUUUCCUGGACCCAGCGGGAUCCCUGGACCGGAGGUGAGCUGCUCAGUGGGUCGGACUCUGCGUUAUUAAGGGGCAUCCGAUGCUUUUCGUUCCUUAUUAGGGUUGGGAAUCACAGAGUACCUCUCGAUACGAUACAAUACACGAUACAUGGCCCGCAAUAUAACAUAGCGAUACAGAGAUUCUGCAAUUAUCAAUGUAUUGUUAGUCAAUCCUAUGAUGAUACAUCAUGAUUUAUUUCUAACGAAGAGAUGAUUAAAUACAUCUUAAAUAACAAACACAAAGAUCUUCGUUAGAGAGAGGGAGAUGCAUUUGGAAACCAUUCGGUUCUUCUGAAGCCCUGUGCUGCAGACAACACAAAGAGCAUGAACUUUCCGUUCGCUUCUCCUCCAUGUCUGCUUUUUCUAACCUUGUGACUCUUUCGUCUCGUUGCCAGGGUGACGAAGGCCCACCUGGGCCGGCUGGACCAUCUGGCCCAGAGGGCAGAGCUGGGAGGCCGGGAUUCGGAGGCAGCGCCGGCCCAGACGGUCUCAAGGUCAGGGCCUCGUUAGCAUGCGCCGCGGUGGCGUCAAUGUCACCUCAGUGCGGAACACGGUCUUUUAGGAUAAUGCAUUAAGUGAAUGUGUGUAAAUGAGAUGUUAAUUCCCCCCGUUGCGCCCAGGGGGAACGGGGCUCUGAGCACAUUUCCACUCAUUUGAACUUAAGCAGGAAGGCGUGAAUACGUUGGCGAUAUGCUAAUGAGGUCCUCCCACACAGGGGGAGACGGGCUUAAGUGGCGAGGUCGGAGCGCACGGAGAGAAGGGGCCACCUGGGUUCCUGGGGCCUGUGGGGGAGCCAGGCAUCGCUGGAGAAAAGGGCGAGCGAGGGGAGGUGGGAGAUCCCGGACCGCAGGGGGUGAAGGGAGCGACGGGUCAUCCUGGCUCCCCUGGACAGAGCGGAUCCCCCGGAGAGCAAGGCUUCCCAGGCCGUCCUGGUUCUCAGGGAUCCAUUGGUGUCCGAGGACCCAAAGGACUCAGGGGCCCUGUGGGUCCAUACGGGCUCCUGGGAGGGAAAGGUUCUGCUGGAGUCAUGGGCCUGGAUGGUCCACCCGGAAAACCUGGGUUCCCUGGACAGAUGGUGAGAAUAGUCUCCUCAUCACUCUAUCCAUCAGUAGCCUAUUUUAA
This 1341-nucleotide long non-coding RNA is filed under the name Gadus morhua (Atlantic cod). Its description in RNAcentral is "lncRNA (ENSGMOG00000026080.1)". The record is from RNAcentral. Lineage: Eukaryota; Metazoa; Chordata; Actinopteri; Gadiformes; Gadidae.